Molecule: long non-coding RNA, 625 nt
Filed under: Physcomitrium patens
Lineage: Eukaryota; Viridiplantae; Streptophyta; Bryopsida; Funariales; Funariaceae
Description: long non-coding RNA (PPAT_LNC001288)
Source: RNAcentral
GAAAUUUCAAACAAACAAUAAAAUUCUUAAAGAAAUAUUAGAAUGAUCACAAAUUUUAUUCAAAUAUAUGUCAAUUCAACCUUAAUUUAAUUCUAGUUAAAACCCUAUUGAAUUUCAUUCAACUUUAGACCAAACCUAAUUAAAUCUUAAAUCCUAAUAAUUCCUAAAUCCUAAGUCAAAUCCUAAACAAAUCUUAAAUUAAACCCUAUUCCAAAUCCUAAACUCUAAACCAAAUCCUAAAUUAAACCCUAAAUCAAACCCUAAUCCAACUCUAAACCCUAAAUCAAACUUUAAAUCAAAUCCUAACCAAAUCCUAAUCCAAAUCCUAAAUAAAAUCCUAACCAAACCCUAAACCCUAAUCCAAACCCUAAUCCAACCCUAAACUCUAAUCCAAAUCCUAAAUCCUAAACCAAAUCCUAAAUCAAACCCUAAUCAAAUCCUAAAUCCUAAUCCAAAUCCUAAAUCAAACCCUAACCAAACCCUAAAUCAAAUCCUAACCAAAUCUUAAACCCUAAUCCAAACCCUAAUCCAAACCCUAAUCCAAAUCCUAGUCCAAAUCCUAAUCCAAAUCCUAAACCGAACCCUAGCCAAAUCCUAAUCCAAAUCCUAGUAAUUCCUAUGACAG